CCCUUAGAUGUUCUGGGCUGCACGCGCGCUACACUGACACAUUCAUCAAGUUUACCACCUUGGCUGAGAGGCCUGGGUAAUCUUUUCAAAGUGUGUCGUGAUGGGGAUAGAUGAUUGCAAUUAUUCAUCUUCAACGAGGAAUGCCUAGUAAACGCAAGUCAUCAGCUUGCAUUGAUUACGUCCCUGCCCUUUGUACACACCGCCCGUCGCUACUACCGAUUGAAUGGUUUAGUGAGCUCCACGGAUUGCUGACCACGGUUGGGUAACCUUCUGAGGUCGGUGAGAGGUGGAUCAAACUUGACUAUUUAGAGGAAGUAAAAGUCGUAACA
This 329-nucleotide ribosomal RNA is filed under the name uncultured eukaryote. Its description in RNAcentral is "partial 18S ribosomal RNA". It matches the Rfam family "Eukaryotic small subunit ribosomal RNA", at positions 1470 to 1796 of the family's 1831-position model. The record is from RNAcentral.